This 23-nucleotide small RNA is filed under the name Arabidopsis thaliana (thale cress). Its description in RNAcentral is "Ath_wt_05383". The record is from RNAcentral. Lineage: Eukaryota; Viridiplantae; Streptophyta; Magnoliopsida; Brassicales; Brassicaceae.
UAAUUACCACCGAGCGGCGGGUA